AAAGUUCAAGGGGGCCGAAUAAUUUCGCAAGGCACUGUAUGUCUGAUGAUUUUUUUCUACGAACAGUAUGCACUGUAUAAGGACACUGAAAUUGUAAGACACAGUUUUUUUUCAACAUGCUUCAAACUUUACAUUGGAUACAAACAUACAAUUGGUUUACAGUAAACUUGAAAAAAUGUGUCCUUUUUCAAGUUUUUUUUAAUUACAUUUAUAGCAGUCAAUACAAACUGAAAACCAUUGGCAUAUAAAAUAUUAAUGGAUAAGAGCAACAAAAUACACACAAUAAGAGUACAAGUAUUUAAAUUGAUAAUGUCCUGCUGUCCUAAAGGAACUCAUGGGAUUGGUGACCUAAUGUACCGUUCAGUUCUAGACUUAGUCUCUGUGAAUUGGGCAGGGGGUAGCUAGUCUGAAUUAAGAUUUUAGUAGGUGAAGUCAGUGCAGAGUUGUGUCCGUCUUGAAGCCGUGUUAGGGACAGGGUCUUAAGUGCCUCAGUAUAACUGAAGUAUCCUCCUAAGAUGGUGUGGUAGAUUUCCUGUGAAUGUCCCUGAUAGGACCUUGCACUUGUCAGGGUUCAGUGUCGUGCUGUGGUGUGGUGUGCUGAUGUUUGUUGUUGUGCAAGUGUGGACCAGAUUUAGUUCUUCGACAUAUUUCCACCAGGUGUCAACAUCCCGAGAGCAUCCAGAAGACUUCCUUGAGCCACGCCCCCAUCAGCUCCUGCCAGUCUGAGAAGCUGUCUUGGUUGAGUUCAUACUGGUACAUAGCUAAAUACGAUAUGGAAAAUGGUAUUUGCCCUCUAUUAGUCCUUCUAUCAACACUUCAAAAAUAUCAGUUUUGAGUAGUAUGUCAUAUAUUUUUUGCUAUUGGAUUAAGUGUUAGGCUCACCGUUUAGUACUUUUAACUAUCAUUAUCUGAUGUAUUGGUGACUAAGUGAAAUGUUGUCAUUGUAUUUCGCAUAAAUUUUGUAUGAAUGACUCAGGGGUUAAAGAUGUGUUCAACUGCUCAAUGCUCAAUCAAAGGUCCUGAACAUAAGACAGAGGGCAUUACAAGUGUUAUCAGUUUAGACUUUGGUACUAAGUUUUAGAAAAUACACCACUUACACCUGAAAUGUGCCAAAGUGAUAUUUGGCAAACCGUAAUCUGACAUUUUUAUGGCGGUUUUGGAGCAGUGGCUUCUUCAUUACUGAGCGGCCUUUCAGGAUGUGUCGAUAUAGGACUAGUUUUACUGUGGAUAUAGAUACUUUUGUACCUGUUUCCUCCAGCAUCUUCACAAGGUCCGUUGCUGUUGUUCUGGGAUUGAUUUGCACUUUUCGCACCAAAGUACAUUCAUCUCUAGGAGACAGAACGCGUCUCCUUCCUGAGUGGUAUGACGGCUGCGUGGUCCCAUGGUGUUUAUACUUGUAUACUAUUGUUUGUACAGAUGAACGUGGUACGUUCAGGCGUUUGGAAAUUGCUCCCAAGGAUGAACCAGACUUGUGGAGGUCUACAAUUUGUUUUCUGAGGUCUUGGCUGAUUUCUUUUGAUUUUCCCAUGAUGUCAAACAAAGAGGCACUGAGUUUAAAGGGAUUGUCUGUGCUGCAUGUGUGCCAAGAAUGAGCAGGGAAGAAUAGCUAAAUUAAUCUCCGAUGUUGUAGUCUACACAUCUCCAACCUGCAACUUCCUGGAGGUUAUCACAACUCUGAAGACGACGGGUCAGAAGAUUUGUAUGGACCCCACACAACCCUAAGCCAAAAGAACUUUGAAGGGAUUGCAGUUAUCGUCAGACUCCACUUGAAUAAACAUAAUUUCAAUGCAUCCUCCUGAAUGAUGUUAUGCUGAAAAAGUUGUACUUUAUGACACAGUAUUUCCACAGCAGACAGUUGUAAGUAAAUGGUGCUGCUUAUCAAAGAGCUAAAUGUGUCAGCCUUUUGACAUUUCAUAUCUGAUAGAUGUUUGAUAAGUAAUGACUCAUUCUUUCCACCCUGGAAAUGUAUAUAUAUUUAUAUAUAUAUUUUUGGUAUGAUUUCUGCUAACUGGGCGAAAUCAAAAAUGUUACAUUUUGAU
Molecule: long non-coding RNA, 2039 nt
Organism: Oncorhynchus keta (chum salmon)
Lineage: Eukaryota; Metazoa; Chordata; Actinopteri; Salmoniformes; Salmonidae
Exons: 3
Source: RefSeq, a predicted model, not a curated record